RNAcentral lists this unclassified non-coding RNA (1208 nucleotides) under Hevea brasiliensis (rubber tree). The record is from RNAcentral. Lineage: Eukaryota; Viridiplantae; Streptophyta; Magnoliopsida; Malpighiales; Euphorbiaceae.
GGAAGAGAAGAGAAUGGAAAGAGAAAGGGAAAAGGUUCUUGAUAUUCUUUAUUACUUCUCUUUUUUAUGAACUUGGUAUCAAAAUUAUGUAUAUUAAUACCUUUUUCAAGCAUGUUGCCCACUUUUUCCCCUUUGCACUUACGAAUUGCUGUAUCAAUGAAGCGUAUUUGAAAACCUCAGGAGAUAAAUGUCUUGUUUGACUUUUAUCCUUGUCACAAACCUAAGACCAGCAGCUUGCCAUGCUUUUACCUUUUCUUAGUGCACACAUUUUAGAAGGGGAAAAGAAGCUACUUUUCAUUUUAACAGAGUGUAGACAUUAUGAACUUAGAUCACUUCAUUGGCAUUCCAUUCUUAGAAGAACGGCACUGGCGCUAGUGCAACAAAUGUAGUACGAAAAGAAAGAGAUGAUCUGAUAGGAGAUUACUGUAAUACAUAAACAUGGUGGCUUCAUGCUUAAUUUUCUUGCCAUCGGUGUCUGUGUUAAACUCUAUGCUGCAUCUAUGGUGUUCCAAGUUUAUAAUUUAACUUCUUAUUGAAGCGUUAUCACAUAAAAAUGGAUUGUUUCUACAUAGUCUGGUGCUUACUGAUGUAUGGAUGAAAGAGAGUUUAAAUUCCCAAAUAUAAUCUCCACAAUUCAAGCACAAAUAGGUGAAUAGCAAGUUGAAUAAUAUUAUCUGCGGAGAUAAAUGAAUUUUCUCACAGAAUUUUAUAUUUUCUUAAAGCAUGUUUCAUAAAAAAAGCAAAUCUUUAUAAAUGGAGCAUUAUGUGUCUUUGCUUAAGCCUCCUUGGGAGGUUAAUUCUUAUUUAGAAUUCUAUCUCCUGGAUACUACAGGAAGCCUUCCCAUUAUGACAUGUUUUCUUGUAACUUAAUAACCUUCUUUUGUAUAUUUAUUAUGUCUUGAGAACAUACUUAUAGUACUGUUUUAAGGAGAGAAUUCGAAUUGGCGAGGAACUCCUAGAAGCAAAACGAAUUGAAGAAGAAAAUGAAAGAAAACGGUUUGUCUUCAUCUAAUGCUUUUUUUGUUGUAGUUUAUUGUGUUUGUGUUUAGUAUGGUGUUAAAUGCUGUUUUCUUGCAUUAGUUGUUCGGAUGAAUGAUUCAUCAUUCCCUCUCAGUUUGCUGGCCUUAUGAAAGGCAGAGAAAGAGGAAGAGAAGAGGGCUAGGGAAAAAAUUCGUCUGAAGUUAGAAGAGGACAAGGCAGAAAGAAGA